RNAcentral lists this microRNA precursor (97 nucleotides) under Nicotiana attenuata. RNAcentral's name for it is "MIR6152 microRNA precursor family". It matches the Rfam family "MIR6152 microRNA precursor family". The record is from Rfam by way of RNAcentral. Lineage: Eukaryota; Viridiplantae; Streptophyta; Magnoliopsida; Solanales; Solanaceae.
UGAACAGAUUAUUGUAUUCGACUGUAUUCACAACGUGAAAUAGGGGAUUACACUGUUUUUAAAAUGGAAAGUGAAUCAAUUAACAUAAUAGACUCCU